GUUGGUAAGUAUACGCCAAAUGAUGAAAUUAACGGGGACAUGGGAUGGAGACCUCCUAGUGUAAAACAAUGGACAUGUGUCUUAAGGCAUUGGGCAAGAUGUAGUGCCAUGACCAAUGACAGAAUAAAUUAUAAAGUUUUCAAAUGGUCACAUAAAAAUGCUGUAAAUAAUAAGAAAAACUAGUGUAAUAGAGUCAUGAAAAAAACUUAAAUAUUGUAACUUUGAUUUGUAUACUAGUAUUGAUAGUGUGCUGCAUAAAGAAAAUUGUUCUACAAAU
Molecule: long non-coding RNA, 277 nt
Filed under: Mytilus galloprovincialis (Mediterranean mussel)
Lineage: Eukaryota; Metazoa; Mollusca; Bivalvia; Mytilida; Mytilidae
Source: RNAcentral